This 216-nucleotide long non-coding RNA is filed under the name Elaeis guineensis (African oil palm). Its description in RNAcentral is "long non-coding RNA (EGUI_LNC019972)". The record is from RNAcentral. Lineage: Eukaryota; Viridiplantae; Streptophyta; Magnoliopsida; Arecales; Arecaceae.
CGGGGAGUCCUCAUCCAAGAAAGUAAGGAGUACCCAAUCGGAGCUUUUUAUCCCUCACCUGUUGUAGUCUCUAGUGAGGAUUGAGUUGGUUGUGGUCGAAAAGCCUUAGAUUACUGCAUCGGAGUCAUUUCGAGCUUCUUUUCCAUUGGAUUAGGCCCUACCUUCCUCUGGAGGGUCGACAAGGCUCAAGAUGGACCCUCCUCUACCCAAGGCUAG